RNAcentral lists this long non-coding RNA (31305 nucleotides) under Glycine max (soybean). Its description in RNAcentral is "long non-coding RNA (GMAX_LNC001391)". The record is from RNAcentral. Lineage: Eukaryota; Viridiplantae; Streptophyta; Magnoliopsida; Fabales; Fabaceae.
GUUACAAGCCUUGCAAUUUGAUCCUAACAGACUCAAAGGAGUCUUGCUAAAAGUUGCCAUCCCCAUUUUGUUUGUAUAGUAUUCUUUGUUGAUAGCUGAUAUUGCAUUCCUUCUUAACCUGUUGUUGAACCAUCUAUUGAAAUAGCUUCGGAAGGUGAAAGCAGAGCUUGGAGAACUCUCUAACAAUCCCCAAGGCUUGCUUUUGGAAGCAAUUCACUCUGCUGGUUAUUCUGGUGCAUUGGCUUUUCCUCUUUUGGCUCCUGAAGCAGCACUGAACAGAUUGGACGGCCCCAAUUUAGAGGAAUUUGUUGUUGUAAGAUCUGUUAUCCUUUCUGAUACUGCAUGAAUCCUACUGGUAUUAGUUUAUGCAACACUUGUAGUUUUUACCAUUUUCUUUUUGUUAUUCCCCCUUGGUAUCUAUUUGAGAAUCUAAUUGUUGCUGGAUGUAAAAAAAUCAGGAGAAUUACACAGCACCUAGAAUGGUACUUGCAGCAUCUGGGGUUGAGCACGAAGAGCUUCUAUCUAUUGCUGAGCCACUUCUCUCUGAUCUACCAAAGGUUCCCCGUCCUGAAGAACCAAAGUCUAUCUAUGUUGGGGGUGAUUUUCGCCGUCAUGGUGAAGGGGUGUGUAUAGGUUUUUAUACAUAUUUACAUUUUUCUUGUAUCUCAUUCUUUUCAUUUAUCCCCUUCAAAGAAAUAUUGUUAUUUACCUGCAAAGAUAUGUUGCAAGGGCAGGGUACACAUGUUGCUAUUGCUUUUGAAGUGCCUGGUGGCUGGCAAAAAGAGAAAGAUGCUAUAGCUUUAACUGUUUUACAGGUACUCCAUUUUGUGUUUGAGUCUGAUAGAAUUACUGUAUUUUGUUUUUUGGUCCUUACUUUUGUUGCACAAUAAAGGACAAAUGAAAUGAUUGAAUGGAAGUAAUAAUUCUUGAAUUGUGCAGAUGCUUAUGGGAGGAGGUGGAUCAUUCUCAGCAGGGGGGCCUGGAAAAGGGAUGCACUCAAGGCUAUGUAAGUUUUACCUGUACUUUCUUGUCCGCUGUUUAGUUUGGUCAGCUACGUGCUUUAACAUUGUCAUUAUCUUAAAUUAAACUCUCCAUUUAUCUGUCUAAUGUGCACUUCACCUUCCUUCAUCAUUUUAGUUUCAUGCAUACCCAACUCUAAUAUUUUAACUUGUUUUGCAUGUACAACUGAAUCCAGAUCUUAAUGUGCUGAAUGAAUAUCAACAGAUUCAAUCUUUUUCUGCAUUCAACAGUAUCUUCAAUAAUACAGGACUGUUUGGCAUCUAUGCAAGCACUGUAAGCAAACACUUGUCACUAUUUCUAGACAUUCCUUUACUCAAAAAAUAUAUUUUUGAAUAUAGAUAUGUAUUUCCUUCUUUUUCCCCCUUUGAAAGGCUGGGUUAUUAUGUCUAGGGGAACAAGUUGCCUUAUAUUAUGCAAUGUUGUUAGAAGCUAGACAGCCUAGACUCAAAAUGUGCUUAUUAGUUGAAGACAAAGUUGUCUUGAUGAACAUUGAUCAAAGUGUAUGGCUAGUUUGAGGAUUAUACAUGGCUUGUUGAUGACCUUUGAAUUGUUACUCAUGAAUUAUGAUUGCCAUAAUUAAACAAACUAGUUAUUCUACUUUCUUUUCCUUUUCCCUUUUGAUUAAUUUUUAAUAUUAUCAUGGGAUUGGACAAGAAAUAUAGGGAUUGGAGAUGUGUUGCUUUUCUUAACCUUUGUAAAGGAUAUAUGCUCUUUUUGUAUAGGGGAAUUUCUAACUAUGUUUAGUUCUGAGUUUUUGGAGAGAAUGAUGAUAAAACAGAGAAACAAAAAUAGGAAUAUUAGGUGGCACUUGGUUUUAGUGUUUUCUGUUUCCAUUUUUGAAGAAAACAAAAAAUAAGAGUGAAAAUAUGUUUGUUUAAAAUUUAGAAAACAUUUUCUCUGAAAAUAUUUUCAAAAACAGGUCCAAAACUGAAAACAACACAUCGACAUUUUCAGUCUUUUCUGAAGAAGUGAAAACAUGGUGGCACCUAGAGUACUUUCUUCUCAAUACAUGUUUUCUAAAUCUUGAAAAUUUGAAAAUGAAAAUAAAAAAUAAACACUCAAACCAAGCACCACCUUACAUAGUGUUAAUUUAAUUACAAAAAAUGACCAAGGAGAGAAUUCUCCUUACAAGGGUUUCCCCUUCACAAAGUGUUUCCCCUUUAUACAACUGAACUAACUAAUGUUCAAUUCCCAAAUGACAACAAAUCGCAAUCUAUCCCUUCUAAUCUAUUCUCCUAUUUAAGCUUAUUCCCUACCUCUUGAACUGCCCCAAUACUACUGUUUUAACUAACUACUCUUGUGAGAACAUUUUUUAGAGGGAAUAAUUGCUUUUUUUUUUUAAAUCUUUCUUAUGAAACUGCCAAAAAUAAGUAAUUACUUCUUCAAAAUAAGCUAAACCAUAAGUUAAUAGUUACUGCUUAAUAUGUUAUGCUGAGGUUGACACAUUCAAAUUUGUGCAUGUAGAGCCCUGAUUUUGUGCCAAAAACUGUUGAUAUAGCAGCCAAAGAACUAAUAGCAAUUGCUUCCCCUGGACAAGGUUUUACUUCUCUCCUGUUUCUGCAGUAUUUUAGUUAGAAUCUUUAUUUGUGUGAAAUUAAACUAGCAUUUCUUUCGAUGACAGUUACACAGGUACAGCUUGACCGAGCCAAAAAAUCCACAAAGUCUGCAGUUCUAAUGAAUCUGGAAUCUAGAGUAUGCUCUUGCCUUCUUUAAUACAUAAACUGUAAUGUGUUAAAUCCUUUGAAAGCUUCUCUUCUAUUUAGACUCCUUUGUUUAUGCAUCAUUCCAGGGGCAUCAAUUUUUUCAAUUUCUAUUUAUCUAUUAGUCUUCAAUAAUGUUAGGAACUGAUGUUAUUAGACUCAGUACUUAGUGAAAAGCUUACAUUUACCUCAUCCCAAAGAGAUGUGUGGGGCCUAAAACCUACAGCAUGCGAGACCCCACUUGACCAACCCCUUGGGUUCACAGUUCCCUUUAUACACAUCCUCAUGUAUGUCUCAUUACCACGGUUUUAUCACCUUUUUUUUUGUGUUUUCCUUUGAACAUGUCCACCUCAAACACAAUUUUCAUGCCUAGCUUAGCCAGGGUCUCCUUCCCUCCUGAAACUAUGAAAGCUCUUAAAAAAGUAUGCCGAUUUAGAAUCAUUGCAUGCUUAUGCCUUGUGAUUCUUUUUUGAGAAAUGCUAGCAACGCACUCUCAACACGUUCCUCCUAACACACUCUUUAUAAUUGGUUGAAAUUUAUUAGAAGUCACAAUUUUUUAUAGGUCCCACUUGUUAUUUAAUGACUCUUUUCUGAUUUUGUAAUUUUUAAUAAAUUCUAACCAAUGAUAGAGUGUUAGGAGGAGUGUGUUGCCAGCACUUCUCUGCUGAACUCUGUCUGGUUAGAUUUCAUUUGGAUCUCAUUCUUAAAAUAAUCAUUUUUUUGCAGAUGAUUGCAUCAGAAGAUAUAGGAAGGCAGAUUUUGACUUAUGGAGAAAGGUAAACAAUCAAUCUCAAAAGACCUUAAAAAAAUUCUUUUCGUUUAUAUGUUGCUGGCACCUUUUCUCAUUUUACGAAUAUACUCUAUUCACAAGCUAUAAUUCUUGAAUGGAAGUGUAUUGUUACCCUUUUCAGGAAGCCUGUGGAACAGUUCUUGAAGGCCGUAGAUGAAAUCACGUUGAAUGAUAUCACUAAAAUUGCUCAGAAGAUUAUUUCCUCACCUUUGACGAUGGCAUCAUAUGGGGAUGGUAUUAAGUUUUUCCUUUCAAGAAUUUCUUUACUAAUUGAUAACUCUAGACUUGACUGAGAAACAUGAUUUCUUUCUUUUGUGGCAGUCAUGAAUGUGCCAAGUUAUGAAUCUGUUAACAGCAAGUUCCAUGCAAAAUGAAAUUGCAUGUGAUCCACCUUCGGCUCAUCAUAUUUUCUGGAUCACAAGCAUGCCUACUUCCAAUUUUCAAGAGCAAUAUACACCGAAUCAGCAAUGCUGAAAAUAAAUCCCAGAGAAUUUUUUUGUGCGGAUCUGAGGAACCAUUGUUCUUGUUCCAUGUUUGUUUUUUUUUUUUAUAACGAUUUGCCUUACUGUAUUAGGUGCAUCGGUCUUAUGGCUAAUGUGCACCUUAAUUUUUUAUUUUAUGAACUAAUUCUCAAGAGAGCACGAAAGCCAAGCCACGCAUGAAUAGAUCAAGAAAAAUGCAAGUAAUAAUUUUCUAACAUGUUCUACAGUUUCUCUUGGAUAUAUUUAUUUAGGGUUUAUUAAAUAUUAAAUAUAAUCCAUUAAAUAAGUGGCAGGUCUUGUAUCAUUUUGUUGGCCCUAUUAUAUCAAUUGUUAAAUUUUUAAAAAAUGAACAAAUGUUUGACCUAUUUUUUAAUGUUUUAAAUAAUAAUUCAUAGUCAAAAUAUUUCAAGAUUUUUGUUUAGAAGUUUAAAACAUGUAAUAUCAAAACUAUAAUAAAGGUUUUCUACUAAAAAAAAGGGAUCCACAAUGAAGAUUAUUUUUCUUGGUUCUGCAGAGAGUAUAAUAAAGGCAAUCGUACUAUGAAAAAUUCAUUUGAAAUAUUUAAUAAAAUUAGUUGAUUAACUUACUGAUAAGUAUUACAUAUAUUUAGUUAAUAAAAAAGUAUUUUCUAAAAAAUAAAAUAAAUAGUACAAUAAGUAAAACAAAUUGUGUAAUAUUAAAAUGAGGUAAUAAAUGAGUAGUUUUAUUAAAGUAUUUAUGCUAUAAACUAGUGAAACAAGCUUAUUUAUUAAAUAUAUUUUGUCAAACAAAAUUAGAGUAUAUAUAUGUGGAAUAUAUUUGAUUAAAGUACAUUUUUUUAUACGAUUUGCCUUAGCUACAUUUUUUUAAAAAAAAGUUUCAAAACAAAAAAUGUGGAAUAUAUUUCCUUAAAAAUAUGUUCAAUACUAAAAAUACAUUCAAAACCCUUAUCUAAAUGCAUUGUUUGGAAGGAGACCAUAACAAAAGGAAAUUAAAAAAAAACAUUUCUUUCUUGAUUUGACAUUUUUUAUCACCAUGUAGAAUAUUCAUCCAUUUAUUAAUUUAUGUUGGAUAAUCUUUAGUGAGAUUUUCAUCUCAAUUAUAUUUUUUUAUCCAUAAAACUUAAACCUAAAAUUUUAUUUAAGGAAAUUAAACUUAUGACCACUCAUAUCAACCAAUGAUUUGCUGGUUUCCCGAUUUGACUUUGACAACACGUUAUGAAGGAAAAAAUCUUAUAAAAGUAAGUUGAAUUCAUUUUUGCAAUCUACCCAAUUUGGGUGGAAAGAAAAAGAUGAUUUUAUAAAAUUAAAAUAUCAAAUUAUUCUUAUUUAUACAUUUUUAAUUUUUAUUAUAAAUAUUUAUGCCAUUGUAUGUAUAUAAUUUCUUUUCUUCUACUUUAUGUAUAGCAAAUAAGAAAAAAAUAUCUUAUAUUUUAUUUUCUCUUUUACCAAACACCUUAAAAAUCAUUGAAUAAUCUUUUUCCUUCAAGGAUGUGUUUGAGACAUCGAAGAAAAUUAAAUUAUUUCAAUAAUUGAUUGAAAUUGAUUAUAAUCAGAAUCAAUUUUUAUUUAGAUAAAUUUAUUAAAAAAAGUGAUCCCAAAUAAUUUCGUUUGGAUAUAACAAAAAAUUAGCUUUUACACUUUCACAUAGAAAGAGUAUGAAAACAGCCGGGGGAAAACUGACAAAAAAUAAUCAUAAGUUAUAAAUUUUUAGUUCAUAUAAACAACUUAUUUCUUAAAAAUAAAGUUUUUUUCUAAAUCGAAGUUAAGAUUCUAAACAUCCAACUGGAAACAACUUUAUUUUCAAAUAAAUAAGCUGAAAUUUGAUAUUAUAAUCGUUCCAAACAUGCCUUAUUUUCUUUCUUUUCUUUUGCCUUUUUAUUUUGCUAACAACUUUAUUUUUCUAAUAAAUAAGUUGAAAGUUGCUAUCAUAGCUGUUCCAAACAUAAUUCUUUUUUUUUUCUUCUACUUUUUCUACUUUUAUUUUGUUUCCUAAAACAAACAAUUCUAAAAUAUAGUUUAAAAUCCAAAUUAAAUUAUUGCAUUAAAUAUGAUUUUAUACUAUAAUCAAAUAAAUAAUAAGUUAACAAACAAUUUACCAAAUCUAUUGUAUACUUUAAGUCUUGAAUUAAAUAUACUUUAAUCAUAAAUAUAUUACCUUUUACAGCGAAAAUGUACAAUAAUGUCAGAUAUUGGAUAAAGUAGUCUAAGAAAUUUGAAAAUAAUGAGCAGGAGAUAGUCACGUGGCAAUAGAGUGUUGACAGAGGAUAGUGUCCUUCGAAAUUAUGUGCAAAAUGAUUACAAAGUUGAUGUGACUGAGCAGGAAACCUACCCUAAAAAGAAUUCAAAAUAGUGAUAUGGUUUUACUCAUCCACGGCCCAGCCAGGCAAAUUUCCUGCAUGGGUUACUUUUAGAAACAUUUUCCCGAAAUGAGUAUGUUUCUAAAGUAAUCCCUGCAUGGUGCUCUUUUUUACGUAGAGACCAUGCAAAUCGCAAGGAGGAAUGGCGAUUUCGUCGUCGACGCGACAGCUGGCACCAGUGUCGCCAUCUUCAAUGGCGUGUUGCACCAAGCUUGGACUCGCCAGUUUGACUGGCGAGUUGAGGGUAGGGGUUUGCAGUUCCUAGGUGCAGCUAUUUCCGACGCUGCAGUCUGCAACCUGCAAUGGGCAGUUCCUAGGUGCAGGGUGUCGCCAGCUCCAAUGGCGUUUUGGUUGGCCAAAAUCACCAGCACGAGCAGCGAUUUGCCUUGCUUGGGGUUUUUAAAUCCCCCUCCCCUGUAGACCAUUGACGCCUGAAAAAGAUAGAGAAGAGAGAAGCUUGGUGGUGGGAUUUUUGCUGGUGCUGAAGAAGGAUUUGCCUUGCUGUUGUGCUGUUUGUGUUUGAACAAAUUUCUUUUUUCAGUGAGUUUAUUUAAUUAUUUUUUAAUUUUAUUUGUAUGCUGAUGAUAAUUAUAGUUUUAUUAAUAUUUGUUAUUAGUAUUUUUAUCUUAAGUUAGUUUUAGUUAGAAUUUAUAAUUAUAAUUUUAUUAAUAUGUGUUAUUAGUUUUUUAUGUUAAGUUAGUUUUAGUUAGAAAGGAUAACUUUAAUUUAAUUUGAUAAUUUAAUAUGUGUUAUUAGUUUUUUUUUAUCUUAAGUUAGUUUUAGUUAGAAUUGAUAAUUAUAAUUUUAUGAAUAUGUGUUAUUAGUUUUUUUUAUGUUAAAUUAGUUAUAGUUAGAUAUGAUAAAUUUAAUUUAAUAUGUGUUAUUUGUUUUUUUUAUCUUAAGUUAGUUUUAGUUAGAAUUUAUAAUUAAAAUUUUAUGAAUAUGUGUUAUUAGGUUUUUUAUCUUAAGUUAGUUUUAGUUAGAAAUGAUAAAUUUAAUUUAAUUUGAUAAUUUAAUAUAUGUUAUUAGCUUUUUUAUCUUAAGUUAGUUUUAGUUAGAAUUUAUAAUUAUAAUUUUAUUAAUAUGUGUUAUUAGUUUUUUUAUGUUAAGUUAGUUUUAGUUAGAAAUGAUAACUUUAAUUUAAUUUGAUAAUUUAAUAUGUGUUAUUAGUUUUUUUUAUCUUAAGUUAGUUUUAGUUAGAAUUUAUAAUUAGAAUUUUAUGAAUAUGUGUUAUUAGCUUUUUUAUGUUAAGUUAGUUUUAGUUAGAAAUGAUAAAUUUAAUUUAAUUUGAUAAUUUAAUAUGUGUUAUUAGUUUUUUUUUUAUCUUAAGUUAGUUUUAGUUAGAAUUGAUAAUUAUAAUUUUAUGUGAAUAUGUGUUAUUAGUUUUUUUUUAUCUUAAGUUAGUUNNNNNNNNNNNNNNNNNNNNNNNNNNNNNNNNNNNNNNNNNNNNNNNNNNNNNNNNNNNNNNNNNNNNNNNNNNNNNNNNNNNNNNNNNNNNNNNNNNNNNNNNNNNNNNUUAUUAGUUUUUUUUUUAUCUUAAGUUAGUUUUAGUUAGAAUUGAUAAUUAUAAUUUUAUGUGAAUAUGUGUUAAUAGUUUUUUUUUAUCUUAAGUUAGUUUUAGUUAGAAUUGAUAAUUAUAAUUUUAUGUGAAUAUGUGUUAUUAGUUUUUUUUAUCUUAAGUUAGUUUUAGUUAGAAUUUAUAAUUAUAAUUUUAUGAAUAUGUGUUAUUAGCUUUUUUAUCUUAAGUUAGUUUUAAUUUGAUAAUUUAUCUUAAGACUCUUCAACGUAUGAGUUAGACACAAGAUAAUCAUCAUCAUCAUCAUCUUCGUCAAGAUUUAAAUUGCUCAUAUUUGUUGGCGGUUGUGUGUCAUCGUUAGAUACAUAAUUUCCACAUGAUGUAAGGGAAUUUGCAGAAUGAAACAUUGAACCACCAGCCACAUCCUUUUCUAUGUACAAUUCUAGAACUGACAUUUCUUGUUGUUGUUUAAAACUUUCCAGCAUCGUCUCAACGUCUUCGUCAUCACAAAUUUGCAAGGAAGUAUAUUUUCCUGACACUAAAAAUCUACAGCUGAUAGCAGAAAUAAUUUCAUUAUUUUGUAACUUUACCUUAUCUCCAAUUUUUUUCUUCAAAGCAUUGAAACUAAUUCCACGUUUAAUCUGAAUCGCUUUUUUACUGCCUUCAAAUAUUACACCAUCAUUAUCUUCAUAUACCCUUCCAUUGAAAUACAACAUUGUUAUAAUCGAAUUCAUCGUGUACCUACAAAAACAAUAUUUUAACACGUCAAAUAAAUUAUAAAAUGAGACACACUUAAAUCAAAUGAAUAAUUUCAAACUAAUAAAAUCUAAUCACAAAAGGUCCCUUUAUUGGAAUUUCACAUUCAAUUUGUCUUUUAAAAUAAUUUAAUUAACUUGAAAUAAAUUUCAUGGGACACACUUAAAAAAAUGAAUAAUUUCAAACUAAUAAAAUCUAAUCACAAAAGGUCCCUUUAUUGGAAUUUCACAUUCAAUUUGUCUUUUAAAAUAAUUUAAUUAACUUGAAAUAAAUUUCAUGGGACACACUUAAAAAAAUGAAUAAUUUCAAACUAAUAAAAUCUAAUCACAAAAGGUCCCUUUAUUGGAAUUUCACAUUCAAUUUGUCUUUUAAAAUAAUUUAAUUAACUUGAAAUAAAUUUCAUGGGACACACUUAAAAAAAUGAAUAAUUUCAAACUAAUAAAAUCUAAUCACAAAAGGUCCUUUUAUUGGAAUUUCACAUUCAAUUUGUCUUUUAAAAUAAUUUAAUUAACUUGAAAUAAAUUUCAUGGGACACACUUAAAAAAAAUGAAUAAUUUCAAACUAAUAAAAUCUAAUCACAAAAGGUCCCUUUAUUGGAAUUUCACAUUCAAUUUGUCUUUUAAAAUAAUUUAAUUAACUUGAAAUAAAUUUCAUGGGACACACUUAAAAAAAUGAAUAAUUUCAAACUAAUAAAAUAUAAUCACAAAAGGUCCUUUUAUUGGAAUUUCACAUUCAAUUUGUCUUUUAAAAUAAUUUAAUUAACUUGAAAUAAAUUUCAUGGGACACACUUAAAAAAAAUGAAUAAUUUCAAACUAAUAAAUUUUAAAGACAAAAUAAAAAAAUUCAUGAACGAAAUUAAUAAUAUAAAUAAUUAAUCUUAACAAUAAUAACUUCAAAAUGAAAUACGGUAAUUACAAAAUUACUACAAAUAUAUUCAAAUAAAUAUGCUACGAGAAACAACAAAGCAUCGUCAAAUAAAUUUUUAUGGUGUAUUUCGUUAAAUGAUUUGACGGAAAAAAAUAUAACAAAAAUUUAAACGUAUUAUUAUGGUGUUUGUAAUUUGUAAGUGUCUAAAUAUCAAUAACAUCAAUCAUUUGUACAAUAUCUCAAUUAGGCGGGCAUAUAAAUAGUUAAUCUUCACAAUAAUAAAAAUAGGUAAUUACAAAAUUAUUACUACAAAUAUAUUAAAAUAAAUAACACUUUCAACUUCAACGCAUAUAAAUUUUUAACACACUAACAAAUGAACUUAAUCUAAUUUAAUUUAAAAAAUAUUAUAACUUCAUCUUAAAAAAACACCAACAUAAACACAUUUCAAAGAACACUCAUAAAUUUUUAAGACACUAAUAAAACAUAAACACCAACUUAAUAUAAUUAUAAAAUAACUAUAAACUUCAUAUUCAAUACAAUUUUUUUUACACCAACACCAACUUAAUAUAAUUUAAAAAUAACUAUACACAUUUGAACUUUUAUACCUUAAAGCUGUACCUUGAACCUGCCUUCAACAAUGUUUUUAGGAUUCAACACAAAAUAGGAUAAACAAUUUGAAACUCACUAUUUUUUAGAAAAGGCACAUAAAAUAUCAACUCUCAGAUGAUUUCAAGAAACGCACAUCAAAUGGGCGGAGCUUUGGUUUAUAAAGGAGCUGAAAUCGCCAUCGGGAAUGGCUACUUCAUGCUCAAAUCGCCAGUGCUACUGGCUACUCCUACCUGCAGCACAAAUCGCCAGUAGCACUGGCGUUUUCCACCAAAAAGCUGUCCCUCCUCCUGCAGAGCUGCUGCACGUAGCCUGAGAACUGCAAACCCCUACCCUCAACUCGCCAGUCAAACUGGCGAGUCCAAGCUUGGUGCAACACGCCAUUGAAGAUGGCGACACCGGUGCCAACUGUUGCGUCGACGACGAAAUCGCCAUUCCUCCUUGCGAUUUGCAUGGUCUCUACGUAAAAAAGAGCACCAUGCAGGGAUUACUUUAGAAACAGACCCAUUUCGGGAAAAUGUUUCUAAAAGUAACCCCAUGCAGGAAAUUUGUCGCCCAGCCACUUAGUAUUCUUUUGAAUGUAAAUUAGUAUCCGCGCGUAUGUAUAACUAUGCCGGUCAUUACACGUUUUUUAUAUCAAUUUAUAUGUGAAAGUUUAUCAAAUGUAUAAUUUGUUGCAUAUACAUUUGUGCUGAUAAAUCGGUACCUAGUCACAUACAUUUAGUAAAUUAGUGAUUUAUGUAAUGAGAAAUUAGAAUAUUAACACAAAUAUAUAAUUUUAAAAAUAUUUGUCAGGAGAAUUUAUAUUAUAAUAAUUGACAUUAUCCUUCUUUAGAUUUUUAUAUCAAAAAAUAUAAUUAAUUAUUGAAUUUAUAGAUGGGAAGCAAAAGUAUUGAAGCUGAGGACAUUAUUUCUUAAAAAUACUUACCAGAAUAUAUUUAAUGUUGAUUUAAAAUAUACUUAAUUGUUGUUAUAACAUGAAAAUCUGCCUAACUAUAAAGAAUAUGAUUAAUAUUUUAUAGAAAGAUAAAUAUUAUAAAUACAGUUAAUCAAUUUUAAGAUAUUUAUCAUAAAUUUUACAAAACUUUCUUAAAAUUUAUAUUUAUGGUUGUCUUUAAUGGAUUUCCUUCUUUAUUAUGUCAUGUAUUAGUAUCUUUAAUUAAUUCUGCCUAUAUCAAUUAGUUGUAGACAUAAGUUUUUGUUUUAAAAUUUUACCUACAGUGGCCAUUUGUAAGUAGAAAUCUUUUUUUUUUUAUCUAUAACAAUUAACUGUGGAUAUAAGUUUUUAUAGGAUUUUACUUACAUCAAAUAGUUGUAAGCAAAAAUCUUUUUAUGUUUUAUCGAGAUAUACCUGUACCAAAAAUUGUAGAUACAAAUCUUUAAAUUUAACCUACCAUAAACAAUUAAAGGAAAAAAUAAUUUUAAAUUUUACUUAUAGAAUUGAUCUUUUCAUUAUUUUUAAUAUUUUUUAUUCAUAAUCUUUUCAUUGUUUUUAAUAUUUUUUAUUCAUAAUUUUCUUCACUACUACUAACUUUUGCAGCUUCCUGGUGUAGGCUUAAUUUUCUUCUUUAAAUAGACAAUAUUCCUUUAGCUAGCUAGAUACAAGAAAUUAAAAUAUUUGUGAACGGUAAGCGCGGCAACCUCUUUUUAUGGUCCACGUGAUAUAAUAUAACUAUUAGUUAUUAAAUUUAUCCUCAUUAACUUAACAACUUAAUGUUUGUCUAAUAAAAACUAAUUUAUUAGUGAAUAAGGAUUUCAUUUGUAAGUUUACGUUAAUGAUAAUUUUUUUGCUUGAUUACAUGUACAUUAAUGAGCUUUUUGGAUUUUCUUUUUUAGUGACAAACGGUGGAUAUCUCUUGAUCGGUAUAAGAUUCAUUUAAGUUAUCUCCAAGUGAGGAUGUUUGAUGAGUUUUUUAGGAUAAAAACAUUUUUUUUAUUUUUUUUGUUACUGGAGAAGUUGAGUUGAUAUUAUGAGUUUCUUUAUUUUUCUGGCUUGAGUAUCUUAUAUAGUGAAUAUUUUAAAAUUUUACAGAAUAAAAACAAUUGAAAUCGAGGAUAGAAAGAAUAAAGACGUACUACAACGCAAAUUACGAGAAGAAAUAACACAGACCAUAACUUUAAUUUAAAAGUAGUUUUUAAGUAAGAACAUAUUUUUUUAUUUUAAAGUUACAAUUUACAAUAGGACUUUUAAAAAUAAAAUAAAAUAAAAUUGUUUGUUAAUUUUUAUUUCGUUUCAAUUAAAAGAGAAGAUUUAAAAAUGACAAAAAAAAAUACAUAUAUAGAGAGAGCGGGAAGCACUACCAACGAAGAGGGAGAGCCAGAAGAGAGUAAGAAGAAAGAAAGCAAAAAGAGUGUGAAGAAAGAACGAGGGAAAAGGGAGAGGAUGAGAGAGAGAUCAAGAAAGGAUGAAGAAAGAAGAGAAUUAAAGUUAACGUUUUUUCUCUAAGUUCUGUUACGUACUUUUUAAUUUCUAUUAUAAAAGUGUGAGUUUAAUUUUCAUAUAUUAUUGGUAUAAAGAUUUUUGCAUUAUAAAAAAAUUGGAAAUCGUUUUAAAUGUUAACUUUUAAAGUAAUUAUUUAAAAAUUAACUAUUUAAUCAAUGAAUUUAUUAUUAAAUUUAGAUGACAAUGUACAAAAAAUAUAGAUUUGACUCAUCUAAAGUAACUAAGAGUAAAAAAAAAAAACGUAAUGUUGAUGAGAAAAUUAAUCUCGUUCAAAAAAUAAACGGGAAAAUUAAUCAUUAAUAUUCUAGCGCAUAAAUAAUUUGCUACGAAUAUACAAAUAAAUUUUAACUUUUGACUUUUCCAUAAAUAAUUGAGUUACUAAAUAUUUUAUCUUCUAAAGUAGGUUACUCAUUAGUUCAAAAGAAGCCGAAUCUAACAAACUUUAGAAUUUUAUGCGUAGAGGCUAAAAUAAAAGUAUGCGCAAAUACAGCUACUAAAAGGUUAAUUAAGCCUAAUAAAAUAAAAUUAGUAGAACUAAAAAAUAGUAGUGUAUAGUUCACAAACUUUUGUUCUCUAAACUCUAGAAACUAGCUCGUAUUGUCUAUUUAAAGAGCAAAACCCUACACCAUCUAAUAUGUAUGCUGCACAAGUAUUUGAAGUGAAUUAUGAUAGCCUGAAAAAGCAGUGACAUGAAAAUGAAGGUACUACUUGUUUUGUUUGUUGCUACAAUUUUGGUAGCAUCGCAAUGCCAUGGGUACAAAAUGUUCCCUCUCCAAAUGAAAAUGGCACAAUACACUACGGAGAUAUCACGUGCAAGUUGGAGGCUUGGAGUGGAAGCAGUGGGAGAGUGGAGAGUGUCUAACCAUACAUGAACUAAUAAUAUAUGUGAAUAAUUAAGAUUAAAAUCUGUUUGAUUUGCUAAAAAAUAAAGAAUUCGAUAAUAUAAAAAUAUUUUGUCUAACGUUUAAUUUAAAAAAUGACUAAAAGAUAAUACAAAAUAAAGAAUAAUAAAUUAGACAAAUAUUUAAAAAUUGUAACUUACUAAAUUCCGAUACAACUUUUUAUUUAGUGUCUAACAAAAAUAAAAAUACAAUAUUGUUCCUAUUUACCUCCCUCCUCGCCUUUGUCACGUCCCUCGUCAUAAAUCUUUCAGACCACUCCAUCCUCUUCAUUCUCGUCUUCCCCAACACUUAUCUUGUCUCUGAUGAUCACUUCUCCCGCUACCACCUCUCCUUGGCUACCCUUGUCGACAUCCUUCACUAUCACGUCCUCUUCCAGUUCCUCUCUUGGUCCGACCUCCGCCCCCUCCCCUUCCUACAAGUUGGAGGAUUGGAGUGAAAGCCCUGGGAGAGUGUAGAGUACACUAUGUGUACACAUACAGCACACCUGUACUCCCCUCCAACGUCAUCAUCCUCUCGAUUCGAUUACCAAACAAUGUACAAUACAAAAAGUUUUCUUAUAACCCAAUUAAUUAUUUAGUGUUGUUUUGUCCGUUCUAUUUUUUUAAUAAAUCAAACGCACCCUAAAAGAUAACUAGUAACCAAAAUAAUAAAGGAUUAAUUGAUAAUUCUAUAAUUAAUUACUUAUAUAUAUAUAUAUAUAUAUAUAUGUGUGUGUGUGUGUGUGUGUGUGUUAGCAACACAUUCUCUUAAAUGUUAUUUAUCAUUUGUCAAAAUUUAUUAGAAGUAGCAUAACUUAAUGAGUAUCUUUUAUUUAUUUGUAAUUUUGAAUAAAUUUUUAUUAAUAACUAAUAAUAGUUUACUAGAAGAGAUAUUGCUAGCAUUCCUUGUGUAUGUAUACAUGGAGAGAUGAAGUUAGUGUAAGAGUAAUUUUUGUGAAUUAUUUUAUUUAAUAACUCUCUGUAUAUAUUAAAUUUUAAUAAUCCAAUUAUUGAAUUAAUUUUUUUAUUGAAUACAUAAAAUUUAAAAAAUAUUCAUAAAAUUUUAAAACUAUUUGAUACUUCAUUGAAUAAGUUCAAUUUAAUUUGUAUAAUACUUUUUUAAAAUAUGAGCAAAUGUCCAAGUAUAAGAUUACGUAAGUACAAAUGUAUAAUUAUUUUAAGAAUAUGUUGUGAAUGAUCAUCGAGUCGAUAUCAACUUACUUAAAGUUAAAUUAAUAGAUUUUAAUGUACAAAACAAAUCAUUGAAGAAAAUAAUUUUUCCUAAAACUAUUCCUAUAAUAACUUGAUUAUUCUUAUAUAGAGUAAAUGACCAUUUUAGUUAUUGAAAUUGUAGAGUGUUUUCAUAAUAUUCUCAUAAAAUAAAAAAUAUUAAUAAUCUCUGAAAUUAAAAUUAAUAUAAUUUCAACCCCUAAUAUGUAUAAAAAAAUUAUUAUUAUUAUUAUUCUUAUUAUUAUUAUAAUCCCUAUUUUACACCUUAUUGUCAUUAUAGUCGAUAACAGAAUUGACAGCAUACAUGGGACUAACAUGAUUAACGAAUUUAAAUUUUAAACAUUUAUUGACAAUUUUUUAAUUUCAGAAAUUAUUGUAACUGCACAUCACAGUUUCAAUAAUCAAAAUAAUAGAUUAUUCUUUCUUUUCUGACAAUAAAGUAAACUCAUAGUAAGUUAUGACAUUAAUUUUUAAAGAAAGUAGAAUAUGAAAAAAAAGUUAUAUAUAUGUCGUUCUAUUUACAUAUAACAUAUAAUUAAAGGACUCAAAUUACUUAUCGCUUAUCAUAUUUUGUGAAUUACUCUUCUUAUAUUUGUGCGUGUGCGCAAAUUUUCACCUUUUUUGGGGAAGGGAAUAAUGUUAUUUUGGUUAGAAAUGGUAUUGAAAAUAACAUCCAGCAAACUACAUGGACAAGUGGUAAUAAUAUUGUGAUAUAGUGUCAACAUUGAGAUUAAAAUGAGUUAUUUUAAAUUAGAGAGAUUAAAAAAUUAUUUUUAAAUUUAAGGAGAUUAAAAGAAAAUCAUAUUUAAAGGUCAAAAAAUAUAUUUAAGAAAAACUUUAAAGGUCAAACCAUAGGGCACCCACGAAUUAUUUGGUCGGGUGAGAAAAAUAUAAAUAUAUUACAAUAACAUUUUUAUUUAGUAGGAGAGAAACUAAAAAAAGAAAAAAAAAUCUUUUACUUUCUCUUUAAAUCAAAAUAAAUGUAAUUCAAUGGACUAACACAUGCGCUCUAUGAGAGAUAAUCUUAAUUUGAUCUCAAGCAACACAUCCUUAAAAAGAGAAAACAAAAAUUCAUCAAAAAAAAGAGAAAACAAAACUUAAAAAUGAGAUUUUAAAAUAUCAGAAAGAGAAAAACUUCUAGCUUUUAAUUUUUUAUAUUUAUUUUUCUUUUGUUCUUGAUAAUUUUUUAAUUUUUUAUUUAAGAUAAAAUUAAAAGGAGAAAAAAAUUCAAUGGACAACACAUGCGCUCUGAAUAAUGCACGUUCAGAGAUGGUGACAAAUGAUCUACCAAAAAAAAAAGCAGCAUUGCAACCUACAGAAAAGAGAUGGUGACAUAGGGUGGUGAGUCACCGGCAUUUAUCAUAAUGCUCUAGACCCACCAGCAUCAACCAAUUAGAUAUGCACGAUUUUUAGGGGAAAAAAAAAUCUAAGUGUCCACCUCAUUUUGGGUGAAUUGACGUAGAAGGAGGAGCAAGAUUAGAAAAAAAAAAAAGAAGUAAAAUUAAAGAACAUGAUAAAUAAACUUUAUGUAAUGAAAAAUUUAACAAAAAGAACAUUUAAUAAUAUUUUUAUCCUCAAAUUUGUGUCAAUACUAUUUUAGAUCCCCGAAAUUUAAAUUUGUUUUUUUUUUCUCAAGUCUAUAAGUUAUCUUUUGAGUUUCUUGUGAUUGAUUUUUUUCCCGUAAAGAUGUAUAGUUUGUGGCAUUUUUUUAUUACAAGAAAAACUAAAAAAAAUAAAAUUGAGAAACUAAAAAAAUAAAUUAAGAUGUUUGUCUCUAGUGUAGCUUUUAAAAUAUAUUGUAAUGCUGUAUAACAUAGAAUUUAUAAAAAAAAAUUAGUAAAUUUAUUUUCUAUUUAACGAGUUUUUCUGUUGAUUUUAUAAUUUUAAUAAAUGUUAAUCAAUAAUUUAUUAAAAAUUAUCUUAUUACAAAUAACUCUUAAUGAUAAGGAUGAGAUAAAGGCCCAACACCUAUCAAAAAUUGCCGCAGGGUAGUUGAAACGUGCUUCUUAUGCCGUUGUGACUUUGUGGUCCAAAAUUAACCGUACAAUCUGCAAUUAUUGCAAUGCUCCGUCUUUUUUUAGCGUCUGUAUGUCACCACUUGGCACGGGCACUUACCGAUAAAAUAUAAAAUGUAUAAACAAAAGUAAUUACAAUUUGAAUAUAAUUUAAAACAAAAAAAAUAAAAAGUAUAUUUUAGCAUUUAUAUAUAUAAUUAUUAUGUUGAAAUAUCUUUUAUCUUUAAUCUUUAUUCUUUAUACCGAAUCUAAAAAAAUUCAUAAGUCUAUAAUUUAAGACAAUUUAUGAAAUUGAGAUUUGAUUAUUAAAGAUAGAAUAAAAUAACUCAAUCAUUAAUUGAUUUUUUAUUUAAGUAUUCUUCAACAAUUAUUGUAAGAUCUUUACGGCUAUUCAUUACCAAUACGAAUAAUGAUAUUAUGAUUUUUGUCGACUGGAAUUUUUUUGUUCUUCAAUAAGACCUUUGUGACUAUUUAGAUGGGGAGAAAAAAAAUUGUAUGACGAUUCGGUAUAUUGAAAACCAUAACCUCAUAAUGUGACAAUAUUGACAUCUGAUCAUUUAAGUUCAUAUCAUUUUAUUUAGUUGUCUAACAGACUCACCUAACUUAACAACCUAAAAUAUACUCAAUAAUGAUAAAUAGUUAAUAUAAUGAUCUUACAAUAUUAUGUAAUUUUGUCAUUUCGCAACUCUGUUCAUGUUAGAUAUGUAUAACAUUAUAUGUUGUAGAACAAUUUAACACUUAUUGAAGAAAAUAAAACAAAACGUGAAUGGUUUUAGAUGUUGCACACUUUAUUUAUCAUAUCUAGUGUGGUAUUCACCAUUGUAGUUAGAUUUGAUAAUCUUAAUUUUCUUUUGUAAUUGAAGUUCAAGUUUAACUUUUAAAGAUUUGAAAAUGUAUAGAGACUGAGGCAUCUCAUCAAUUAAAGAAAGAGUAGUCAUCUAUGAACAUAAUAAAAUACAUUUGUCUAUUCCAUGAAUCCAUAAGAAAGAUACCACGAAUAUUUGUAAGUAUUAGUUCUAAGACAUUCUUAAAUCUUUCAACACUUAAAUUCCUUUUAUUUGUUUGUUCUUCCUUUGUGCACUCAAUACAGACUUAAACGUUUGACAAAUAAAAAGGCCCAAAAAUUUCCUCCGACACAAGCUUUUUGAAUUCUCUAUAUAGAGAUGUGGCCUAAGCGCCCAUGCUAUAAAGUGACAAAAUUCUCAUUUAAUUUAUGUUUCAUACCAUGUGAAUCCUUUGUAACAUUUCUUUAUAGGAGCACUUAAUAUCAAUUAAAGACACAUAACCAACAUCACUUGAAUUACAUGAGAGACUAACUUUUUAUUUCCAAAUGAACAAGAGUAACUGGAUUUGUCCAAAAUAGAAAUAGAAAUUGAAUUUCACCUAAUAGAUGAUGUAACACACACACACACACUAAAAUAAGGGUCUAAAGAAAUUUUUCAAGCAAACACUUGGUUUGAAAAGGAUGACAAAAAAUACUAAGAGAAUGCUUAAUAAAACCGUUAAGAGAUGUAGAAACACUUAAUUUUUACUCAUUCACUCAAAUAGAGUUAUAUCUAGUUCUUCUUUACACAAUCGUAAAGGGUUUCACUAAUCAAAACUUGAUUACAAAGCAAAUAUUAUGUCUUGCUGGCUAUACAAGUAUUAUUCUAGUCACUUCUACACUAUCUUAGACUCCCCCUAAACUUAAGAAAAACCUAAGAAUGGUUUAACAUUAAGUCAGUCUAGGCUUUCACAAGUAGUAGUUUGAAUAAAUACAAGUAUUCAAUAGCACUCAAUGAGUUGGAUAAGUAAUAAAGCAAAAAUAAAAGAUAACUUUGUUUAGCAAAGGAUAAACAAUAAGAGCUAAUAAAUUGUCUAGUGAUUUCUGUAGAGUUUUGCUUCAGAGUUAUUCACGUUUUCUCGUAAUUUUUUGAAGUCGUGCUUUUGGGUAGAGUCUUCCUUUUAAUAGAUUUCAAUGAAGGAUUCAUUAUGGUAUUAAUGUUAAGUCUUUGAAAUGAUUGUUGUCUCACAUUGGAGAUAAGAUUAUGUGACAUGCUUUGAUUUGAAAGGCAAAGAAUAAAAAUACAUAAUACUGCAUGUGCUCCUAGAGGAAUAUUUUGUGUAGACUUUCUAUUAUCUUUUAUUUUUUCAUUUUUUAAAAUUCAAAUGUUAACAAUUCAAAUAAAGAGAGAAACUAAAAUUUCAUAAAAGAGAAUACGUGUAUUAAUUUUAUUUUUGGUUGACAUGACUUUUUCAUACUAAGUUGGACACCAAUUGUGUGUGAGACUUAUACCAUCUUGUGAGUGUUGAACAUUCUUAGUGUAUAACACUGAUAAUAUAAAGGGGUAGACACUUUUGGUCUUAUAGCGUGUGUGAUGCUGAUUAAUAAUUAACAAAAUAUUUUCUUUUUUGAGUGUGGAUGAUAUAUGUGAAUAACACUUAAGUCCUUUAAUAACUUUGCUCACGUCCACUUGUCAUAAACUUAUUAAUAUAUCAAAAAUUUGUAUUUUUUGUUAAACAUCAAAAUAGGUAUAAAUGGUCGUCCAAACCUAACAAUGAGCAUUUAAUGUUAAUAUGAAUUGAAGAUCAUAUUAACAUGUAUUACAUCGGACCUGAGUUCUUUGUUGUUCCUAUCUCAGUUGUCCCCAUGCUGUUUCUUGAAAAUCACACAAUUUUAAAUUAAAUCAUAAAAUUAAAUAUUAACACAAACUAAAUAGAUAACAUCGAAUCAGCUAAAAAAAAGACAACAAAAAAACCAAUUUAGUAUUACAUCUUUCAAACAAGACAUAUGUUGCCUAAACAAUUUUUUGGUACAUUUCUUAAUUGAAAAUUUUACACUAUUCUGAAUAAUUUAUUAGAUACAUAAUAUCUAUGUGCAAAUAUAAAAUCCAUACAACUUUUCAGUGUUAUAGGUGAACUCAUGUAUCACGUGUUCUAAUAAGUCUCUAUAUAUUCAGAUUUAAGUGAUAAGAGUGGACCCCGAAAAGAAACUGUUUUUUUAUAUAUAUAAACAAUACUAUGCUAUAAUAAAUUUUAUAUAUAUAUAUAUAUAUAUAUAUAUAUAUAUAUAUAUAUAUAUAUAUAUAUAUAUAUAUAUUAAGAAGAAGAAAAAAAGCGCAAGAGCAUCGAUCAAAUGAACGAAUAAUGCUCAAUUUUCUUUUAUUAAAAGUAUAAUUUAAUUUAUACAUAUUGUAUGAUGUAAUAUUGGUAUAAAAUAUUUAACAUAUUUGAUGAUAAAUAUUUACUAAAAAUAAAAAUUUGUAUGAUUAUCUUUAUCAACACAAUUUUUUUUCCAUUCAUAAAAUUUGAAUGUGACUUUACUUAAGAGAUUCAAUAUAAUUAACUAUCAUCAAACAGCUUCCUGGUAUAUGAACAUGCAGGCUUUUUCUUUGUAAUCUGAGGGGUAUUUCUUAUGCCUCAUAUGAAUAUUAUUCUCUCUUUGCCGUUUCAGAAAAAAAAAAAAAAACUUAAGAAUAUACAUGCAUAUAUAUAUAUAUAUAUAUAUAUAUAUACAUUUAUCUUAAAUAUAUAUUUUAAAGUAAUUAUUAUAAAAAUAAAUUAUUUUAUAAUAAAGAACCAUCUAUGAUCAAAUAAAUGAUAUAUAUAACUUGAAUUUGCCUGCUGUUAGAUAAUUUAACAACUAAUUAACUGUAAGUAAUCUCAGUUCCUUACCGCUAGAAAAGUUAACAUUUAAUGUUCUGACACAUUCAGAAUUUGUUAUGUACGUCCUUUACAUUACACCCAAUACUUUAUCUUUCAAAAUGAGUUUCUCACGUUAAAAAAAAAAAAAAAAAAGUUGCAUCCAACAGACUUUAAUUUGUACAAAAUGCGUUUUGAUUAUUAAAUUCUAAAAAAUUAACCUACCUGAUUGUUUUUUUUAAAAAAAAAAUAUGUUCAACCAAAUUCUAUUGAAGAUUAAAAAAAAAGUAGACAAAAAACAUAAAAGAAAAUAACAUUCUGGACUAGUAAAAUGAAUUAUUGGACCGUAAAAAUUAGCUUAUUACAGUUCAGAAAUAUUUUAUCCUCUAUGCAGUAGGCAGAGGUAUUGUCUAUUUAAAGAAGCAAAUCCUCGAUGAGGAAAGUGCACAAGUGAGUUUGUUGAUCGAGAUAACUAGAAACAGUGUGAUGAAAAUGAAGGUCCUUGUUUUCUUCGUUGCUACAAUUUUGGUAGCAUGGCAAUGCCAUGCGUACGAUAUGUUCCCUCUCCGAAUGAACACUGGCUAUGGUGCCCGUACUCCGGAGGUGAAAUGCGCAAGUUGGAGGCUUGCUGUGGAAGCACACAACAUCUUUGGCUUUGAGACCAUUCCUGAAGAGUGCGUUGAAGCAACAAAGGAAUACAUCCAUGGCGAACAAUAUAGAUCAGACUCCAAAACAGUUAACCAACAAGCUUACUUUUAUGCCAGAGACCUCGAAGUCCAUCCCAAGGACACAUUUGUGUUCAGUAUAGAUGGCACCGUACUCUCUAAUAUUCCAUACUACAAAAAACAUGGAUAUGGGUAUUAUGCUCUUAGUUAAUUUUCUUCUAAUACUCUCUUUUUCCGUUUUUGCUAUUACUAGGUUACUCCCUUAUAUGCGCAUCAUUUAUUUUCAACUAUUUUUGGUAUUGAUCGAGUUUCGGUGUUUGGCCCGACUAACAACAUUAAGGUUUCUCAUCACAUGCAUGUAGAUUUGAAACCUUCAUUAUAUAUGACAUUUUAUGAUUAGAUAUAAUAUAAAGAAAAAGUUUCAUUGUGAGUGCAUAAAUAUAUAUAUAUACAGACACAGGCACAUACAUGCUUUCAGGAUCGUGUUCAUUGUUCUUAAUGCAAUAUUUUAUGUGAUAGGGUGGAGAAAUUUAACUCGACCUUGUAUGAUGAAUGGGUUAACAAGGGCAAUGCACCGGCACUGCCCGAGACUCUUAAGAAUUACAACAAGCUGGUGUCUCUUGGCUUCAAGAUUAUAUUCUUGUCAGGAAGAACACUGGACAAACAGGCCGUAACAGAAGCAAACUUAAAGAAGGCUGGCUACCACACAUGGGAAAAAUUAAUUCUCAAGUCAGUUUUCUUUUUUCUCUAUACUAUAUUCUCAAGUCAAUUAAUUCUCAACGUUGCACCAAAUCUGCCAGGAAGGAACAGUUUAUAGAUAAUCAGAAAUUAUAUAAUUAUUUUAAGUACAUGGUGCGAUAUGAGUUUGAAAUACUAGUAGCUAAUUGGAUCUAUUUUUGGUUGGUGCAGGGAUCCACAAGAUCCUUCCACUCCAAAUGCAGUUUCAUACAAAACAGCAGCGAGAGAGAAACUGAUAAGGCAGGGAUACAACAUUGUUGGGAUCAUUGGAGACCAAUGGAGCGAUCUCCUCGGAGGCCACAGAGGCGAAAGCAGGACCUUUAAGCUUCCUAAUCCCCUGUACUACAUUCAGUAGUUCCUUCACCUCUCAACAAUCUAGCUUGCUCCUAUCUAUCUAUAUGUAAUAAGAUGCGUUCAAAUAGGGGCACUAGCUUCACUUUAUGUUGUUUCAGCUGUGUGUCAACAAGUCAUGUAAGAGACUUCACUAUGUUGUUUUCUCUUUCGUGGCUUUAAUAAAUUAUGCGCCCUUGUUCCAUACUUUGAUCUUUUCUUUUCUUUUCUUUUUCUUUUUAAGUCAAAGUAAUUCAUUAUUAUCAAACUAAUGAAAAAUACUAACCAAUAUCCUAAGAGAAUUGGUUAAAGAAUUUAAAAUAAUAAUAUUUUUAUUAAGAGACACAAAAUUAUGUUAUUUAUAAAUUUUUUUUAUUUUCAUAUAACUUACACAAUUAAUAUUUUUGUCUUUUAGUUUUAUAACAAAUGUCUUAAAAACACUAAUUAAAAAGAUUCUUUAAAAAAUAGUCUUAAGAAAAUCUGAGGAACUUAGCUAGGUUUUACAAACUAAUAUAAAAUGUGAAUUAAAUAUAUUUUUUCCAUUUAAUAAUUUAGUAUUUUUUUUCAUCCAUUACAUUAUUUUGAAUAAUAAAAAAUAUUAUAAAGUGUUUUAAGGAUGAAAAAUAAAAGAAUAUAUUUUAAAUAAAAUAAAAAAGAAAUUUGCAGGAAAAAAAUAUCUAAAAGAUAAAGAUUUUAUAAAAUCGAGAUCGGGAAAGAAGUGCACAAAAUCGACGUCGUGAAAGAAGUGCACAAAAUCGACGUCGUCUAUUACACCAUAUAAUUACACUGUGAACCGACAGUUGGUAUUAACACAAUGGCCCAAUAGAGUAGACCGAGAAAUAAUUAUCUGACAAAUAUACUGUUCACUAAAAACAAAAAAAUGAUGAGAAAGCCUGAAAAUUACACUAUAUAUAUAUAUAUAUAUAUAUAUAUAUAUAUAUAUAUAUAUAUAUAUAUAUAUAUAUGAAAUAUAAUAACUUUAUACUAUCAUUUAAUUAAAAAUAAUUAUUUAAAUUAUUUUAAAAUAAUUAUUUUAAAAAUCAAUAAAUUUAUCAUACAUAAUAAAUAUUUAAUAUAAAUAUUGAUUAAAUGAUUAUAUAAAAAAUUUAUACUAUCUUUGUAUAAUCCUUUUUUCAUAUAAAAAUAUUAGUGAAUGGUGUUUUGAGUUUCAAAAUUUUAUAAAAUUUCGUUUUAAUUUCUAAUUUAUAAAUAUUACUCUUUUAAUAUACCCUUUAAUUUCUAAUUUUAAAAAUAUUACUCCUAAUACAGAGAAAUUUUAGUUUUAAAAUUCCAAAAUCGAGUAGUUUUGAUUUCUAUAUUUUUUGAAAUAUACAUAUUUGGUCCCUGUAUAAGAUAGAAAAACAUUAGUUUUAUAUAUUACGUUUGGAUAUUUUUUAUAAAAAAAAUCAACCAUGAAAAAUAUUCAUUUUAAAAGUCAGAACUCAGAAUCAAAAUUCAAAGUUUAGAAACUUUUUAAGUAAAAACAUUGUUAACCCAUUAAAAUGUUGUCAUCACAUACAUGUAACUAAUGCUAAAUUUAAUUACGUUUAUCUUUUAUUAUAUAUAAACAUCUUAAAAAUCUAUUAAAAAAUACUAGGUACAAUCACACUCAUUUAACUAUAUAUUUUUUAUUGAUGAUGCUAUUUUUUUGGUAUUUUGGGGUUGCUGAAGAACUUGACGGUUUUUGUCUACAACCCUCCUCUAACCUAAAAAAAUAAAUUGGUUGGCGAGAGUAUUGCAGCAAACAUUUGCUGGAGUAUGUUUGACGCUUAAGAAGCUUUUGAAUUAAAAUAUAAAUCUCACAAAAAUAUAUAAAUUUAUCCUUUAAUAUUAUAUCUCUUCUCUUUAUCCAAGACACCAAAAGUCUCUUGCAACUUUAGCACUGUUAGCGACUUUCUGACAAUUAGUCACGCGCACUCCCUCAUUGUGUCUGUACUCUGGAGUCAAACUCAUCCAUUUUGGAAGCGAAAUAAUGCUUUUGGGUGAAAAAAUUAUCUCUCAUGCUUUAGUCCGUGUACUGUUUGGACUUUGGAGUGUAUGAUUUUAUAUUAACUUUAUAUUACUUUUUCUGCUUUUGGGUGUGGAAAAAAUUAUCUCUAAUGCUUUGUUUGUUUCAAUGCACGGAAUGAUUUAGAGAGAUGGAAAAUAACUUCAUAUUUUGUCCCUGUACCGUUUGGACUUUGGAGUAUAUUGAGAAAGAAAGGAAUAAAAGUAUCAGUUUGUGGUUCCAUAUUAACUUUAUAUAUCGUCUAAUUUAGAACGAAAAGGAGUAUUUUCUAUACAAAGAUAAAAAUAUUAUUAUUUACAAUAUAUCUCAUGUUUUACUAUUAUUAUUAAAAUAUAGACAUUAUCUUUUUCUGCUUUCAUUUUUUUGUCAUAAAAUAACAUAAAAAAAUCAUUUUGUUUUGAUAUUAAACCCAACCAUGCAUUCUCCACAACAACCCAACUAUACUUUACUUUUAAAAUAUAAACUAUAGAGAUAUGCCGUCGAUUUUUUAAAGGCUUGUAUUUUUAGUCCCAGGUAAAUUAAUGUUUUUUUAUGUAAUUUUAUUUUUUUAAUUUUAGUUUUUGUAAUUUGUGACUUUUUAUUUUUGAUUUUUUAAGAUAUUUUAUUUAUUUUUAAUUUUUGCAUGUUUAUAUUUUUUUUAAUUUUGAUCCCAUAAUAUUAUAACUUUUUUAUUUAUAGUCACCCUAAAUUCAUGUUUAUAGAGACUAAAAUUAGAAAAACAUAAAUUUAUAUUAACUAAAAAUGAACAAAAUACUUUAUAAAUAUUAAAAUUGAAAAAUAUAAACUUAUAAGGAUUAAAAUUAAAAAAUUUAGAGAAUACAAAAAUAAAAAUACACUAAUUUACAGAGAAAAAAUCAUAUUUAAAUCGUUUUUAAAUAUAAAAUCUCUAUCUAUUUUAUUGGAGAUCAUGGGCAUUUAUUUAGUCUCUAUCUAUUUUAUUAGUUAGGUGACUAGAGUGGACCCAAAAGAUAUCUAUGGAUUUGAAACAUAUACUGAACUAUUAAGUAAAAAGUAAAUCAUGAAAUAUUAUACACAUUAAAAAAUUAAAAAUUAAAAAAAUAGAGGACCAGAACCCCAACCAUCUAAGUAAAUUUGUCCACAAUAAUAAAUAUAUCAUUAUUUAAAGUCUUAAAGAAAGAAGACCCAAAUAAAUAUAAUGUAGAAGUAGAACACAUAAAUAACCCCAAAAAUCUGCUAGUUUUACUGUGGGUUGCGUUUCCUAUGGUACCGUGGGGGUAACACAAAAAGCGACUGUCUGCAACAAUAAUGAAUCUGCACAUGGAUAAGUGUCAGGUACAGCAGAAGACAUACACAACACAUAAAUAAUUUACUGAAUAUAAAUAAUUAAUAUGUUAAAGUUAAAUUAAAUUGUUUAAAUAUUAUUUGAAUUUUAUUUUUAAUAAAAGUAAUUUUUUAUUUAUUUAUUGUCUAAACUUUGAAUUAGUCUCUUUCCCUAUUGAACCCAAAAGUAAAAAAAAUAAAAAUGCACAGCAAGAACCAAAACAUGCGGAUAUUCACCAAUAAUGUGGCAAUUGAAUUGAAUCUCAGGGCCAGUAUGUUUCUUACAAACUACACAAAACGUUAAAAAGAUGGAGCCAUGCAUUUGACCCAUACGUACCCACCCCAAUCUAACAAUCCAAACCUAAUAACGAUGGUCAGCACCGCACCAGCUUCAUAGUAAAAUGAGUUACAAUUUUAUACUAUAUUUAAUAAAAAGUAAAUCAAAAUUUGAAAAUCAAAACUUUAAUAAUAUUAAGGUAUGUUUGGAUCAAUUUCUCCAUAAACGCUUCUGGAAGAUAAAUAAAAAAACAACUUUUUAUAAUUUAAAAUUAAUUUCUGUAUGGACCAAUUCUAGAAGUUGUAUCACAUAAGUUUUUUAAUAGAAGAUCUUUAAUUUAUGCAUAAACUAAUUGAUGAAGAAUUUUUUUUAUUUUUUUCUAAUUCUAGAAGUGUUUUCGAAUAUAUUUAUCUAAACAUACUUAUAUUAAUUAAAAAAUAGAAGUGGUCAUGAAAGUUACGGGUUAGAUAUAAUAUUAAUAAAAAAAAUAUAAUUUAUACAUCACAUGUGCUGAUUUUAAAAAGUUUUUUUCAAAUAAUUAAAAUCGUAGAUAACUAUUACGAUAUUUCAUUCUUUAAAAUAAAAUAUAAAAGUAAAGUUAUUUUAUUUUGUUUAAUUUUUUUACACUAUUUUUAUACUUAAAAUAACAAGUUGUACGUUAUUAUUCACACCUAUGACUCUACAUUUAAAAGUCCUGAAUGUGAGUUCUUAUGUUAAGAAUUUAUUCAACUUUUACACUAUCUCAAUAAUUUUGAAAUUAAUUAAUUACCACUUUGUGGUAAACAAAGCCGAGUUUCAUGAUUAGAAAGUAAAAGGUAAAAGUAAAACAAUUUCACGUUCAAAACAAAAAAAAAUGUAAAAAACAAAUUGUACAAAAAUUUCGUGUUUCGCGACUACCAAGGAAGAGUUAUCGCUGCUGCCUCUUGCUUUCAGCCACACAAAUUGCAGAGGGCAUGGCACACAAAUUGUCAAGUCCUUGUCUCGGCCUGGAACACGAGGGAAACGCAACAACACGGUACAUAUAUACUUGGAUUCAGGAGUGGGUUUUUUUCCCUCUUCAUUUUUUUUCAUUAUAUUAUAUAAAAUUUAUUUUAAUUGGUUUUAAAAUUACUUAUUUAUUAAAUUAAUUUUUUUAAUUUUGUUUUUAAUUAAUUUUUUUAAUAAGAAAAUUGUAUUAUUAAAAAUAAUUAUUUUUAUUUUAUUAUUUAAUUUACUUAACAUAUUUUUUUAGGUGAAUAUUUUUUUAACAAUCUGAAUUUUGUAAUAUAAUUAUAUUACUAAAUAUGAUUAGUUUGUUUAUGUCAUUAAAUUUAAUUAAAAAUGAUAAAACUUUUUGUUUAACAAUUUAUUUAUAAAAGAACUUUAUAUUGCAUUAUCAAUAAAAUACUUAAACAAUUAAGAAUGAUAAGACUUUCUGUUAUAAUCAUGUUGUCGGUAAAUUAAAUAUUUUUUUCUACUUUUCCUUAUUCGUCCAUCUCAUGGGAAUGCGAGUUGAAACGGGAUGACCCGUUGUAGUUUUCUUCAUCCUUGGAUUAGAACCUCACUGAACUCCUUCGUAUUCUUGCCACGUUGAUUCGUGUGGGAGUAAAUCAAAAGAGUUGUCAUAGACGUGCCAAAUGUGUUGUAGAGUGAAGACAUGUAUCCCCACAUUGAUCAUGCACAAUAGAAAUUGGUUAUCUUCAAUAAACUAGUCAUCGAAAUAGAAGAAGACCUGUNNNNNNNNNNNNNNNNNNNNNNNNNNNNNNNNNNNNNNNNNNNNNNNNNNNNNNNNNNNNNNNNNNNNNNNNNNNNNNNNNNNNNNNNNNNNNNNNNNNNNNNNNNNNNNNNNNNNNNNNNNNNNNNNNNNNNNNNNNNNNNNNNNNNNNNNNNNNNNNNNNNNNNNNNNNNNNNNNNNNNNNNNNNNNNNNNNNNNNNNNNNNNNNNNNNNNNNNNNNNNNNNNNNNNNNNNNNNNNNNNNNNNNNNNNNNNNNNNNNNNNNNNNNNNNNNNNNNNNNNNNNNNNNNNNNNNNNNNNNNNNNNNNNNNNNNNNNNNNNNNNNNNNNNNNNNNNNNNNNNNNNNNNNNNNNNNNNNNNNNNNNNNUAAAAAAUAUAUGAUAUAAUAUUAUAUUUAUAAUAUUUAAACUAUAAAAAAAUACCAAAGUAUGGAAGUCGGGAUGAUCAAACCCAAUUUCCAACAAGCAUUCCAAAAAUAGUGCCCUACAUGAAUAAAAGAAGAAAGUGAUGUAGAUUGGGAAAAAAAGUGGAAAGAGAAAGUGCAUUGACGAAAAAAAACCAAAUGUAAAGAAUUACUACCUAACAACAUUGUCAACCAACAUGGUUUGGUUAUGAUUAGCAUAUAUAUUCCUGUCUUUAAAAUAUGUUGUUGAUACUCAUGUUCGUGUAAAUGAAAAGUAUUUGUAGAAAAAAUAAAACUCUUAAAUGGGUCUUAUCCGGUCAAAGGACACCCUCAUGAGCUCACCAAUUAAUGUAAUCAAGCAAAUAAAUUACCAUUAACGUAAGCUUACAAGUCGUAAGCUCAGUGUUAUUAUCUACAAAUUUAAAAAGUCAAUUAUAUCACGUGGACCAUAAAAAAAAAGGUUGCCGAGCUUAAUUUCCUGUAUCUAGCUAGCUAGCUAGCUAGAGGAAUGGUCUAUUUAAAGAAGAAAAUUAAGCCUACACCAGGAAGCUGGAAAAGUUAGAAGUAGUGAAGAAAAUGAAAGUCAUUGUUUUCUUCGUUGCUAUAAUAAUUUUAGGUGCAGAAUGGCAAUGCAAUGGGUCAGAGCAUGAGCAUGAGCAUGGCCACAGCUACCAAAUUUUCCCUUUGCGAAUGAAAACCGGCCCCGGUGGCCACUACAUUCCGGAGGUAUCGUGCAAAAGUUGGAGGCUUGGUGUGGAAGCACACAACGUCAUUGACUGGAGAACCAUUCCUCAAGAUUGCGAGGGAUAUAUAGGAAACUACAUGCUUGGCCACCAAUAUAGAUCAGACUCCAAAACAGUUUGCCGUGAAGCUUAUUUUUAUGCUAAAACCAUCAACAUCACUGCCAAAACCACAUGGGUGUUUGAUGUAGAUGAGACUACACUCUCUAAUCUCCCUUACUUUGCUGAUCAUGGAUUUGGGUAUCAUCUUUUUUUCUAUCAAUUUAAUUACUUUUCGUUAAUGUUUGAAAAAAUAAUUAAUAUAUCUAAAAAAAUAGAAAAUAAUUUUAUGAAAAAAGACAAAUAAAUUUCUAAAAAUAAUCUUAGGACAAGAAGGAAUAUUUUUCUUUCCAUCUUUUUCUCAACUACUUUUGUAUAUAUUGAGUUUCAGUGUGACCCAAGAACUAAUUAAGUCAAUAAAAAUAAUCAUAUCAUGUAUUUUGUAAAUUAAAAAUAAAUAACAACAGAAUAAAUAAUAAGAACUCAAAAGUGAAGUUGAAUUUUCAUAUACUAUACAUUGGAUAAAACAAGGUGUUGGCUAAAACUAAAAGAAAUAAUAAUAAACCUUAUUUUCUUAAGUGCAGGCUCCAUCGAUUCUGAGAUUAGAUAGUCAGGUUUAAACCUGACUAUUUCUACAUAUACCAUUUUUAUUUUUUUUGGUGCUUUGUGUUAAACAAUCUACAUAUCUGACUAUUACAUUGAUUUUGGGAUCGAAUUAAUUAUACGGUUAAAUUUUAUUUUAUUUUGCAUCUGGCUCAACAUUCUUCUUUGCAUACACAUAUCUCAUUAUAUAUUUAUAGUGAAUUUUUUUAUCGAACAAUAAUUAAUCAAUUUCCUGGUCAUAGGGUGGAGCUAUAUAAUGCAACAGCGUUUAAUGAAUGGGUUGACCUUGGCGAGGCACCGGCACUGCCAGAGAGUCUCAAACUGUACAAUAAACUGUUGUCUCUUGGCAUCAAAAUUGUAUUCAUAACAGGAAGACCACUGUAUCAACAGGCUGUAACUGCUACCAACUUAAAGCUUGCUGGAUACUACAAAUGGGAAAAGUUAAUUACCAAGUAAGUCUCUUUUUUUCUAUAUUUUUUGUAUAGAAAUCCAGUUAAUAUAUAAUAUAUUUUCAAAAUACAAGUAAAUAUUGAACUAAUUAAUAUUACAUAAUUUUCAUGUUGUUUGAGUGCUCUUUAUAGAAGUUCCACUUUAAUUAAAAAUUAAUUCAAUCGUUGUCAAAUAUUCAACACCAAUAUAUAAUAUUUCUUACAAUUAGUACUUUUUUUUUUACUUAUUUAACCUAUCUAUUUUUUUACAUCAGCAAUUCAGCUAGUUUCUUGUUUUCUUCACGUCAUAGUCUUGUUAAUUUAGAACAUAUAUGUUUCAAUUGUUUUUUUUAUUACGAUAGUAUCAUCAAAUUCAUGACAUUGAAUAAAUUAUCAAUAAAAUUAACUUUGGUUGAUGUGAUAUGAAUUAUUAAUUUAAAAAUAUAAAAAGCUAAUAAUUAUAUAUUUUAAAUGCAUAAUAAAAUAGUCGAGUUAUUGGUUAUCUGUACACAAGUAUAUUUUAAACAAAAAAUAACUGAUUUUCUCUUAAAUUCUGAUAAAAUAAAAUAAUUAAUUUUGUAUUUCUUUGUUUUUAAUUUCUUCCUUAAUUAAAUAAGUGUAGUGGCUUUUAAAAAUAAAUUAUUUACUAAUAUCUAUAUAUUUUCUUAAAUAUAUAUUUUUAAUUUGAGUCUUAUGAAAAAUAAAUUAAUAUUCACAUGUUUAUUUAUUUUCAAUUCUGUUAUAUUAUUGUUUGACAUUGUUAUAAUAUUAUUUGUUAGAUUUUUAACUUAAUAAAAUAUAAUAAAUAAAUCGAUUUCAAAUAUAAAAUAUGAUAUCUUUAAUUUCUAUAUUUGAAAAUUAUUUUUCAUUUAAGUAUAGAGACUAAAAUAUCAAUAAAUAAUUAAGUUUGUGAACUAGAAUUAUGGUACAAUAAUAAAUUUUGAGACCAAACUAAAAAAUUAUUUUUUUACACAUAGGAAUCAUAUGGAUGACACAUAAUAAUCAUUAGUUGGUACAUCAUCCCUAAAAGUAUCUAUUUAUAAUUGUUCGAGUUAACAAAAAAAUUAAUUAUCACACUUCUUACCAAUUUAAAAAUAAAAUUUUAAUUUUUUAUGUUUCAAAAAUCUAACUUAUCAACGUCUAAUACAUUAAAGGAUAACUUUAGGUAUUUGGUUUUAAAUUUUUAGUGUGAUGUUGUUGACAUUGAAGUGGAUUAUACUAUCUUCGUUCCUUUUUAUAUGUCUUUUAAGAUUGUUAUAUAAAAAAAAUGAUAAUUUUUUGUUUUAAUAAACAAAUUGUGAAUUUUCCUAUUUUAUUUUAUUUUCUUUUAACUUCACAAUAAAUAAAUAUGUAAAUUAAUUAAAGAUUAACAAAAAAUUAAGAUUAUAAUUAAUAAAAGAGUAAUUAAUGUGUUCUUAAAUUUGAAUUAUACAAAUAACAAAUAAAUAGAAACAAAAAUGCUCUCAAAAUAUUUUUUCUUCUUCGUACUCCAUUGUCCAGAGACUCGCUCUCAAAAUACUAUAAUUAAAAAAAGGACAGAAGAAGUAAUUUGCAUGUUCAUUCAACAAAUAAAUUUUAAGAGUUUAAUGACUAACUGUAUAAAGCAAUUGUACACAAUCAGUCAAACAUUGUCAUUAGUAUACUUUUAAGAUAACCGUUGUAAGCAAAUUAAUGACCAAGUAUACAUAAUUGUUGUAAUGGAAUGAUACAAUUUUAUUUUAUUUUUAUAAAUUCUAAGCAAUUAGUUCUUUACAAUUCACUAGAAUUGGUUUAGUGGUAAGAAAUUUCGAUAUAUUUUGUAUAAACUCCUUGUUUU